Molecule: long non-coding RNA, 416 nt
Organism: Phyllostomus discolor (pale spear-nosed bat)
Lineage: Eukaryota; Metazoa; Chordata; Mammalia; Chiroptera; Phyllostomidae
Exons: 3
Source: RefSeq, a predicted model, not a curated record
GAAUUUUUUCAAGACUCUUUGAACACAUUUGCUAGUUUCAUGGUGGGUGAUUUACAAACACACCUGUCCACACUGUGCUGGGUGUUCAGCAGUUUUUGACCUAAAACGGAGUGACCCCUGUGCCACACCCUCCCUAUUCACCUGAUCUCACACCAAGUGACUUUUUUGGGUUUCCCUGGAUGGAUAAAGUCCUCAAAGGGAAACGUUUUGUCAGUAUGCAAGAGGUGAUAUAAAAAACAGCAGAAGCAUUAAAAGGCAUCAAAAUUGAUGAGUUCAAAACUGUUUUGAGUGGUGGAAAAAACGUCUCGAUGGAUGUAUUGUAUCAAGUGGAGAGUACUUUGAAGGUGACUGAAGUUUAAACAUGUAAGAAUAAAUACACAAUUUUUAAUAAAUAAAUUCCAUUUGGGGGAGGCCUU